ACAAUGUUAAAUCCAUGCAAGAGGUUGGCUUUAUCAACCCCUUCAUUGAUGGGCCCAGAGGAGGCACCCCCAGAUUGGAGGGGCUCUACCUCCAGGGAAGCCCCCAGGCAUUGCUCUUAGCAUGCCUCCUACACUCUGAUACACCUUAGUGAUGACUGGGUUGCAAACUUUUUUCCAGCUCUUUCUGCUGAUGUUUAAAUUCUUCCUUUUCUGCAGUCUGAUUCUUAUCAAGCUAAUUGAUGAUUUCAUUGCACUUGACAAGAAUCUUCUAUUUGUCAUCACCAUUU
This is a long non-coding RNA of Phyllostomus discolor (pale spear-nosed bat), 287 nucleotides long. RefSeq lists it as uncharacterized. Lineage: Eukaryota; Metazoa; Chordata; Mammalia; Chiroptera; Phyllostomidae. The transcript has 3 exons. The record is from RefSeq and is a predicted model, not a curated record.